RNAcentral lists this ribosomal RNA (253 nucleotides) under uncultured bacterium. Its description in RNAcentral is "partial 16S ribosomal RNA". It matches the Rfam family "Bacterial small subunit ribosomal RNA", at positions 524 to 776 of the family's 1533-position model. The record is from RNAcentral.
UACGUAGGGGGCGAGCGUUGUCCGGAUUUAUUGGGCGUAAAGCGCGUGUAGGCGGCCAGAUAGGUCUGCUGUGAAAACUCGAGGCUCAACCUCGAGCUGUCGGCGGAAACCAUCUGGCUAGAGUCCGGAAGAGGAGAGUGGAAUUCCUGGUGUAGCGGUGAAAUGCGCAGAUAUCAGGAAGAACACCGAUGGCGAAGGCAGCUCUCUGGGACGGUACUGACGCUGAGACGCGAAAGCGUGGGGAGCGAACAGG